This 465-nucleotide ribosomal RNA is filed under the name uncultured bacterium. Its description in RNAcentral is "partial 16S ribosomal RNA". It matches the Rfam family "Bacterial small subunit ribosomal RNA", at positions 338 to 795 of the family's 1533-position model. The record is from RNAcentral.
CCUACGGGUGGCAGCAGUAGGGAAUAUUGCUCAAUGGGGGAAACCCUGAAGCAGCAACGCCGCGUGGAGGAUGAAGGUUUUCGGAUUGUAAACCUCUGUCAGCAGGGAAGAACGGUCACUGUGCUAAUCAGCAGUGAAUUGACGGUACCUGCAAAGGAAGCACCGGCUAACUCCGUGCCAGCAGUCGCGGUAAUACGGAGGGUGCGAGCGUUAAUCGGAAUUACUGGGCGUAAAGCGCUCGUAGGCGGUAUGUCAAGUCAAGGGUGAAAUCCCCGCGCUCAGCGUGGGAACUGCCUUUGAAGCUGGCAAACUGGAGUGUGUGAGAGGAUAGUGGAAUUCCAGGUGUAGGAGUGAAAUCCGUAGAUAUCUGGAGGAACAUCAGUGGCGAAGGCGACUAUCUGGCACAUAACUGACGCUGAGGAGCGAAAGCGUGGGUAGCAAACAGGAUUAGAUACCCUUGUAGUC